GGGGGUUAUUCAGUGGUAGAGUGCAUGCCUAGCAUGCAUGAGGUCCUGGGUUCAAUCCCCAGUACCGCCA
This 70-nucleotide transfer RNA is filed under the name Camelus bactrianus (Bactrian camel). It matches the Rfam family "tRNA". From Rfam's summary of the family: Transfer RNA (tRNA) molecules are approximately 80 nucleotides in length. Their secondary structure includes four short double-helical elements and three loops (D, anti-codon, and T loops). RNAcentral also lists the same sequence under 3 other names. Lineage: Eukaryota; Metazoa; Chordata; Mammalia; Artiodactyla; Camelidae. The record is from Rfam by way of RNAcentral.